UCGGUUCUUCUGCGCCUUACAAAGUGUUUCCAGACUCUCAACCAUUCUUGAGGUGGGCACGGGAGAAGGGCCUGAAAGUUGGAAUGGUCAUGCAGAGUACAGUUAUAAGGAUGUCAUUCUUCCAGCCCUGGGAUUAAAUGUGGUUUAAGACGCCCGAUGCUGAGGAGUGGAGGAAAUCUGGUGCUGUUGUCCUCCCGGCCUUGAUUGCAGCCCAGAAAUGGCUUACUUUGGACAAUAAUACCUUAUCGUGGGGAUGAGGUCGGAAGAGGUUCCGUUUGUUUCUUCCUGCAGAAAUUGAUUUCUAUUGUAUGUCCCAUGUUGCUCUAGCUGUUUGAUCAAAUCCACUUCAAUGAGAUGUAAGAGCCCUGCCUAAGGUCAUUACUUGACCUUUCCAUUAUAAGGGAGAUACAGUAAUAUUGCAUUCACUGGGUCGGGUUAUAAUUCGACCACAGCCAUAGCACUGA
Molecule: non-coding RNA, 464 nt
Organism: Punica granatum (pomegranate)
Lineage: Eukaryota; Viridiplantae; Streptophyta; Magnoliopsida; Myrtales; Lythraceae
Source: RefSeq, a predicted model, not a curated record